AUCCAGCUGAAAAGUUCAAAAUUGGACGAAAUGCGCGUUCUGGAU
Molecule: non-coding RNA, 45 nt
Organism: Schistosoma mattheei
Lineage: Eukaryota; Metazoa; Platyhelminthes; Trematoda; Strigeidida; Schistosomatidae
Source: Rfam